GCCAGUGACGGUAAAGGCAGAUAAGAAAGGGGUUAAGUGAGCGUAUGGCGAGACAGAAAAGGAUCUAUAGACCAGUCCACACGUUCUCACUGCCAUGACUAACUGACUGACUGCCUGCAGCCAGCGCCUCGAAGAAAACCCUGCAGCUAACCCGCUCCAGCUGCAGCCAAGUUAAAGCAAAGUGAGAGGGAAUGGCUGACCCAGAAAAGUGCUGUUUACUAGCUCAGACGAAGAGAGAUGAUUUAAAUAUGGAUCAGAUUUCAACAACUACUGGGACCCAAUGACCUGGAUAGAAAUACACAUUUAAUUCACAAUACAAUAUGCUGUGGAAAGGAGCUGAGCUUCUGCUUAUAAUAUUUCACCUACAUUUAGCUCAGAGCUCAGAGCAUCCUCCUCCAAUUACAAACAGUGAGCUGUUCCCAGGUGUAGUGUACACACCUGGACCAUCAUACCUGAGUCUGAUCCUGCUGGCGUUUACUGUAGGACUGUCUGGUAGUAUUUACCUGUGUGUGCUGCGCUACAUAUGUGCCGGUUGCUGCCAGCCUGUAGUAGUGGGUCCGGAAACUGAAACUCUGUCUGGAGUGGUCUAAAAAUACACUUAAGAUUAUUAUUAAGAAGAUUAUAAAUGAAUCAUGAAUCAAUCACCUUAAUUUUUAAGAGUGUAUUGAUGCUGGGUGUUGUUGUACUGAUUUGAUGUUCUU
Molecule: long non-coding RNA, 701 nt
Filed under: Astyanax mexicanus (Mexican tetra)
Lineage: Eukaryota; Metazoa; Chordata; Actinopteri; Characiformes; Acestrorhamphidae
Description: lncRNA (ENSAMXG00005022417.1)
Source: RNAcentral